GGUGCAUCUCUAACGUUCAUGAAAUCGGGUGAACUAGAGACUUGUACAGCUGGAUGAAGAUAACAGGGGUGAUGAAGUCAAAUGAUCGUCGGAUGACUCCAAGGAUUCGAUUUCCUUUUGCAGUUGCUUGGUUUAUGUGGUUGCUGAAGGUCAGCCCUUUGU
Octopus sinensis (East Asian common octopus) is the source of this 162-nucleotide long non-coding RNA. RefSeq lists it as uncharacterized. The transcript is spliced from 3 exons. The record is from RefSeq and is a predicted model, not a curated record. NCBI's taxonomy places the organism in Eukaryota, Metazoa, Mollusca, Cephalopoda, Octopoda, Octopodidae.